Molecule: ribosomal RNA, 253 nt
Filed under: uncultured bacterium
Lineage: Bacteria
Description: partial 16S ribosomal RNA
Rfam family: Bacterial small subunit ribosomal RNA
Source: RNAcentral
GACAGAGGGUGCAAACGUUGUUCGGAAUUACUGGGCGUAAAGCGCGUGUAGGCGGCCCUGCAAGUCGGGUGUGAAAUCCCACGGCUCAACCGUGGAAGUGCAUUCGAAACUGCAGGGCUAGAGUCCUGGAGAGGAAGGUGGAAUGCUUGGUGUAGAGGUGAAAUUCGUAGAUAUCAAGCGGAACACCGGUGGCGAAGGCGGGUCUCUGGGCCGAAACUGACGCUGAGGAGCGAAAGCGUGGGGAGCAAACAGG